UACGUAGGGUGCGAGCGUUGUCCGGAAUUAUUGGGCGUAAAGGGCUCGUAGGCGGUUUGUCGCGUCGGGAGUGAAAACCCAGGGCUUAACUCUGGGCUUGCUUUCGAUACGGGCAGACUAGAGGUAGGCAGGGGAGAACGGAAUUCCUGGUGUAGCGGUGAAAUGCGCAGAUAUCAGGAGGAACACCGGUGGCGAAGGCGGGUCUCUGGGCCGUAACUGACGCUGAGGAGCGAAAGCAUGGGGAGCGAACAGG
This 253-nucleotide ribosomal RNA is filed under the name uncultured bacterium. RNAcentral describes it as "partial 16S ribosomal RNA". It matches the Rfam family "Bacterial small subunit ribosomal RNA", at positions 524 to 776 of the family's 1533-position model. The record is from RNAcentral.